AUUGAACGCUGGCGGCAUGCUUUACACAUGCAAGUCGAACGGUAACAGGUUAAGCUGACGAGUGGCGAACGGGUGAGUAAUGCAUCGGAACGUGCCCGAUCGUGGGGGAUAACGCAGCGAAAGCUGCGCUAAUACCGCAUACGAUCUGAGGAUGAAAGCGGGGGACCGUAAGGCCUCGCGCGAUCGGAGCGGCCGAUGUCAGAUUAGGUAGAUGGUGGGGUAACGGCUCACCAAGCCAACGAUCUGUAGCUGGGCCGAGAGGACGACCAGCCACACUGGGACUGAGACACGGCCCAGACUCCUACGGGAGGCAGCAGUGGGGAAUUUUGGACAAUGGGCGAAAGCCUGAUCCAGCAAUGCCGCGUGCAGGAAGAAGGCCUUCGGGUUGUAAACUGCUUUUGUACGGAGCGAAAAGGCCCUCUCUAAUACAGGGGGUUUAUGACGGUACCGUAAGAAUAAGCACCGGCUAACUACGUGCCAGCCGCCGCGGUAA
This 493-nucleotide ribosomal RNA is filed under the name uncultured bacterium. RNAcentral describes it as "partial 16S ribosomal RNA". It matches the Rfam family "Bacterial small subunit ribosomal RNA", at positions 29 to 523 of the family's 1533-position model. The record is from RNAcentral.